This 164-nucleotide small nuclear RNA is filed under the name Ochotona princeps (American pika). RNAcentral describes it as "U1 spliceosomal RNA (ENSOPRG00000017932.1)". It matches the Rfam family "U1 spliceosomal RNA". From Rfam's summary of the family: U1 is a small nuclear RNA (snRNA) component of the spliceosome (involved in pre-mRNA splicing). Its 5' end forms complementary base pairs with the 5' splice junction, thus defining the 5' donor site of an intron. The record is from RNAcentral. Lineage: Eukaryota; Metazoa; Chordata; Mammalia; Lagomorpha; Ochotonidae.
AUACUUACCUGGCAGGGGAGAUACUAUGAUCACGAAGGUGGUUUUCCUAGGGCGAGGCUUAUCCAUUGCACUCCGGAUGUGCUGACCCCUGCGAUUUCCCCAAAUGUGGGAAACUCGACUGCAUAAUUUGUGGUAGUGGGGGACUGUGUUCGCGCUCUCCCCUG